UACGUAGGGUGCAAGCGUUAAUCGGAAUUACUGGGCGUAAAGGGUGCGUAGACGGCCUAUUAAGUCGACUGUGAAAGUCCUGGGCUCAACCUGGGGACGGCAGUUGAUACUGGUGGGCUUUGAGUUUGGGAGAGGGUGGUGGAAUUCCCGGUGUAGCGGUGAAAUGCGUAGAGAUCGGGAGGAACAUCUGUGGCGAAGGCGGCCACCUGGCCUGAAACUGACGUUGAGGCACGAAAGCGUGGGGAGCAAACAGG
This 254-nucleotide ribosomal RNA is filed under the name uncultured bacterium. RNAcentral's name for it is "partial 16S ribosomal RNA". It matches the Rfam family "Bacterial small subunit ribosomal RNA", at positions 524 to 776 of the family's 1533-position model. The record is from RNAcentral.